GCAGAGUCAGUCAGCGUCUGCCAGGAGGUGAGUAGAACUAACUUAAUCUUUUAUAUUAAGAAAAUCAAAUGCCUAAAGCAUGCUCAUGCAUCAUGUUUAUAUGUAAUAGGAUGAUUGCACUAGUUUCACGAAUGUGACGCAUUGCAUAAAUUGCUGUUUAUAUGAUGAGAUGGGUGGACCAAGGCGACCUUAAUAGCCCGUAAGUCUGUCAUUGAGUCCUUGUCAGUCGGGCAAGUACAUGUAAGGAAAGCCCAAUGAGAGCUCCUUCGGGGCCGAGUAUUGACAGAGGGAAUGUUGGGGUCAUGUCUAACCCUGAGGGGAAGGACGUUUCGAGAACCCUCUAAAAUCACCCGCGAGAGGAAGAGAAUGCUAGCGUGAACUCAAGCGGGGAAGAAAGGAUUGUUGUGUAAUAGUUGUGAUAUGGCGCAUUUCAUGAAAGCAUGUAAUUAAUGAGCUGUUUUCUAUGUUUCUACUCACUGGGCUUUCUAGCUCACCCCUCUCCUCUAACCCCAGGUUUGCAGGUUUAAGUCAGAGCUCAGAAGUCAGCAGGGUAAAGAUUUAAGUGACGUGUGUUUGUAAUAUGACAGUUCAUGUUUAUGUUACAGUUUAGUAGUUUUAGAAGUGGACAUGUAAUAUAAGUUGAUGUAAUGUAAUUUGAGAUAAUGUAUGUAACUGAUAGUAGAGUUAAUGUUUAUGGAUUAGAGUGUGCUUGGCCCUAUAGAUUGGUUAAUCCCUGUUGAUGCAUGGUUAUGUAAUGUUUUAAAUGUUGAGUUGAGAACCAGGCUUGAUGUCUGUAAUGUUGACCCAGUUAGAGCUUUUGAUGAGGGCUCUAGCAUGGGAAAGUUUAUGUUCACAGUUAUGUUGUAGCAUACGGAUCAAGCUUGGUGUAUGUUCAGAUUACAGGUUUUAUGUUUAAGUUUUUAUAUUAAAGUUUUUGAUCAUGCAUGGGAUUUUGCCAGGUAAUAGUAUGAAUGUUGGCUUGCUACGGGUCCCGGCGGCCUUAAGCCGAUCUGGAUCCUAGCGCCGGUGGCGGUUCGGGACGUUACAGUAGGGUAUCGGUUUUCGGGCUGUUACAGAUGGUAUCAGAGCAUAGGGCCUCAUAAGUACGGUGUGUUGAGCAUUUUGCUCAAGGACUAGAGAUAUCCCACAUCGGAAAGAGGUUGGUUUAGACGUCAUAGAAGGGCAAGCACAAUAGGUAAGAUCGUGUCCACUAGGAUAGGAUGUUGAGUCCUGUCUUGCUAUGACUAUGUGGAAUGCCAUGUUUGAUGCAUGUGCAUUUAUGUUGUAUUAUGGAUGUUGACUGAUCUCUGGUGCCUCGAUAUGUUAUGCUAUGAUAUGAGAUGAGUUGAGAGACCAGGUAUGGUUUUUUUUGGCACAGUUGGUCAUGGCAUGUUACGCUAGGUUGAGGGUCAUUGGUGUCAGGUUCAUCCAUGAUAUAUAUGUUUCAUAGGAGAGUUCAUGUGUUUGCUACAUGGACCCUAUGAUGUGAUGCUAUGAGUUAUGAGUUCAUGUGUUUUCCAUGGACCACAUGAUAUGAUGUGCUGCUGAUGUUUGCUUGUGUGUCUGUUGUGUUUUCAGAAGAGCUGAGAUGCAUGGUGCUAGUGGAUCUGUGGAGUCCGAUCCAUCUGAGUGGGAUGGAAUGGUGCAGAGGAGGGAUGUAGGUGUACAAGUGAAUAUGGAUGAAGAGAGUUUGGGAGAGUCAGAGGAUGACGCCCAGACUAAGGAUUCCAGGAUCUCUAGUGUUGCAGAAGUUGAUCUCUCCAUGUUGAGUUCAGCUGCCAAGAGAGGUAGACAGUGGGGAAGAACCCGUAGGCAGCGGAAUAGAGCCCCUAAGAAGUGGGGCAGAACCAGGAAGGGCAGGUUGUGGAAGAGGCUCAGGGUUGGUCUGGAGGUCUCUGGUUCAGGCACUCCAGGAUGUGAGAGAUGUGGCAGGCCGCACCAGGGAGUUUGUCUGUUUGGGACUAAUCUAUGUUUUAGAUGCGGACAGGAGGGGCACGUGGCGCGCGAGUGUCCCACUGCACCCGGAUUAGCUCAGUCCCAGCGGUCAGUUUCAGGUGAUGUGGCCCCGACCAGUAGGCCAAGAGGAGGAGCAGACACAUCGAAUACGGUGACGCCAGGUACGCUCACUUUUGAAUGUUCUGAUGUGUAUGUUUUGUGAACCUUGGUGUUUCUCUUUCUUUAGUUGCUCUAGGAGCCGUUGAGGGGUUGAGUUGACAGCUUCUAGGUUAGAGUGUCCUCUUUGGGUCAGUGGCCCAAGUGUGAUCCAUCUAUGGCAGAGUCAGUCUGCCGGUUCAGUUCAGUGUCAGCUGAGGGUAGAUGCUUUCCACCCGACCUUGAGGUCCUAGACUUGAUUGUCUGGAUGUCAUUUUAGGGAUGGAUUAGUUUUCUACUCGUGGUGCUAUCUUGGUCUGUAGAGACAAGGUAGCUAGGUUCGGAGGACAGGAUGGAUUAGAGGUAGUCUGUUGAGGGGACAAGGUAUGGAUGCCUAGAGGUUUGGUGUCAACCUGUCAAGCUCGUAGGGUGCGUAGGAGGGGUUGUCAGAGGGUUCUAGCUCUUGUUUGAAAGUUUAGUAAUCAGGUCAGGGAACCAGCCUUGGUGUUAGCAGUGAGAGAGUUUUAGGCGUCUUUCCAGACAAGCUGUCAGGUGUAUCACCUGUCAGGGAUAUAGAGUUUGACAUAGGAGUGGUGUCUGGACCCAGAACCAUUUCUAUCCUUCCCUACAGGAUAGUACCAGUAGAGUUGUGAGCGUAGUUGGUAUAGCUGCGAGACUUGGUAGACAAUGGAUUUAUCCGACUUAGUACCUCACCCUGGAUGUUCCAGUGUUGUUGCGGGAAAAGAAGGACAGAUCCUUUAGACCUGGUAGCAACUGUGAGCAGUUGACCAACGUCACUACCAAGAGCAGGUGUUGGUUACCUAGAAUCGAUGAUCUACUUGAUCAACUAGCAGGAGUCAGUUGUUUCCAAGAUAGAUCUGAGAUCCGAUACUACCUGUUGAGAGCUAGAGACAGUAUAGUUUUCAAGGGAAAAGAGAAGAGUAAGGAUCGGAGUGCGCAGCGAAAGUGUGUGGAGUUUCAGGAAAAGGUUGAGGUGUUGCUUGAGGUGUUUUCUUUUGAGAAGGAUGUUUCUUUCUGGAGGAAGUCCUUAUGGAAUUUUCCGUGUUCCAUGUUAUGGAAGUUCGUGUCAGAUCCAAGUUAGGUUCUUAAGGAACCAAAGGUGGAGAUAUCAGGAAGUCUCACCUAUGUGAGCAGGCAGUACGGAUCAUUGACACACAAGUCAGAAAGAGGAGGAACAAGGAGAUUCCAACGGUGAUAGCCUUUUGGGACCGUCUGUGUGGGCGAGUUCGCUUGGGAGAACUGGGAGUUCUUACUCCAUCAGUGCCCGUGUCUCUCUUUUAAGAGGGAGGUUUUUGAAGUUUUGCUUACUUGCUUAUGUAUGCUUGAUGCUAUGUUUUGAGUAUGCCUGUUUGUUGUUUGAACAUUCGGGGACGAAUGUUCUUAAAGGGGGAAAGAAUGUAAUACCCAGCUCAAGUCUGGCAUCGGAAUCCCUGUAGUCAAGCGGAUUUCUGAUGUCGGAGUACCCUGGAAGGGGGUCGGGUUAUGUUUUUAUAUGUUUUCAAGAGUUUUAAUGUUUUAAAAAUUUGUUAAAGGAAUUGGGUUUUUGAAAGAAAAGGACCAAGGAGACUUUUGCCAGGUUCGGCCGCCGAAAGUGGAGUUCGGCUGCCGAACAUGAGACAGUUUCGGGUGUGCCUUUGGCCUCCGAAACACCCGAAAGUCUUGAAGGCAGAAACUAGGUUCGGCCGCCGAACCUCAAGUUCGGCCGCCGAACAUGGGGGAGUUUAGGGUGCUGGUUUGGCCGCCGAAGGUGGUUCAGCCGGUCACCUAUAAAAGGCCUCAGAUCGAAAAUGGGAGAGUUUUCUCCCCAUUCUCGAGCUCAGGUUAGUUUUUGUACUCCUUUGGUCGUUUUCAUGCUUUCUCUACCCAUCCCUCAAGUUUUUCAUGAGUUUUACCCUUGUUUUGAUGUUUUGAAGCUUAAAAAGGAGUUUGGGAGCUUGGAGGCUUUUGGAGCUUGGAUCCUUCACACCUCCGAGUUAGGGAUCUCACCACUCCUCGAUCUUCAAGAGGUAAGUGUAGAUCCUUGCUUUCCUAGUGUUUUAAUGAAGUUUUAAGUAAGUUUAAUGAUGUUGUGAUGGUUGAGUAUGGGUAGAUAUGCAUGUUUAGGUUUAUGUGAGUUUUAUGCCCAAUGUAUGCCAAUGUAUGUUUAUAUGAUGUUAUGUUGAGGUUUAAGCUAGUUUAUACAUGUGGGAGUGAGUAUGCAUGAUUGGGAGAGAGUAUGUGAGGUUUUGGGUUGUUUUGAGUUGGUUUGUGGCUAGGCAGAAUCGGACCUGUCGUCCAGAGGGGACCAGGUUCGGCUGCCGAACCAGCAUGGGAGGCAGCCUUUCGGCUGCCGAACGUGCCCCCGAAGGAGGGACUUUCGUUUCUAUCCAGGCGUUUCGGCCGCCGAACCUGCCGCCGAACUUACCCGAGUUUCGUCUCUGGAAGGGACUUUCGGCCGCCGAAGGUGCCGCCGAAAGUGCCCUGUCCAGCCGUUUCUUGGGUGUUUUCUAUGUAUGUUUAAGUGAUGUUUAGAGGGGUUUUAGGGGGUAUGCUUAUGAGUUGUUAGAGUGUGUUUGGCACCUCAUUCGAGUGCACCUGUGUAGGAUUGGACCCGAGAGACCAAGGAGGCCAGUAGUGCUAGCAGUUGCAGAGUCAGUCAGCGUCUGCCAGGAGGUGAGUAGAACUAACUUAAUCUUUUAUGUUAAGAAAAUCAAAUGCCUAAAGCAUGCUCAUGCAUCAUGUUUAUAUGUAAUAGGAUGAUUGCACUAGUUUCACGAAUGUGACGCAUUGCAUAAAUUGCUGUUUAUAUGAUGAGAUGGGUGGACCAAGGCGACCUCAAUAGCCCGUAAGUCUGUCAUUGAGUCCUUGUCAGUCGGGCAAGUACAUGUAGGAAAGCCCAAUGAGAGCUCCUUCGGGGCCGAGUAUUGACAGAGGGAAUGUUGGGGUCAUGUCUAACCCUGAGGGGAAGGACGUUUCGAGAACCCUCUAAAACCACCCGCGAGAGGAAGAGAAUGCUAGCGUGAACUCAAGCGGGGAAGAAAGGAUUGUUGUGUAAUAGUUGUGAUAUGGCGCAUUUCAUGAAAGCAUGUAAUUAAU
This 5187-nucleotide long non-coding RNA is filed under the name Manihot esculenta (cassava). RNAcentral describes it as "long non-coding RNA (MESC_LNC005556)". The record is from RNAcentral. Lineage: Eukaryota; Viridiplantae; Streptophyta; Magnoliopsida; Malpighiales; Euphorbiaceae.